Molecule: ribosomal RNA, 395 nt
Filed under: uncultured bacterium
Lineage: Bacteria
Description: bacterial SSU rRNA
Rfam family: Bacterial small subunit ribosomal RNA
Source: RNAcentral
GACGAACGCUGGCGGCGUGCUUAACACAUGCAAGUCGAGCGGUAAGGCCCUUCGGGGUACACGAGCGGCGAACGGGUGAGUAACACGUGAGCAAUCUGCCCUCCACAUCGGGAUAACCCCCGGAAACGGGAGCUAAUACCGGAUACGACCACUUCAGGCAUCUGAUGGUGGUGGAAAGUUCUGGCGGUGGAGGAUGAGCUCGCGGCCUAUCAGCUUGUUGGUGGGGUAAUGGCCCACCAAGGCUUCGACGGGUAGCCGGCCUGAGAGGGUGACCGGCCACACUGGGACUGAGACACGGCCCAGACUCCUACGGGAGGCAGCAGUGGGGAAUAUUGGACAAUGGGCGAAAGCCUGAUCCAGCAACGCCGCGUGAGGGAUGACGGCCUCGGUUGUAA